Molecule: long non-coding RNA, 758 nt
Filed under: Homo sapiens (human)
Lineage: Eukaryota; Metazoa; Chordata; Mammalia; Primates; Hominidae
Description: HSALNT0333284
Source: RNAcentral
UACAAAGUGUACUCCAGGUUGAAUGACCCGGACUUGGAGAAUUGUUCUUCUGGGAGGUGUGGCGGAUCCCACUGUGAGAAAGAACCUGCAGGAAGGGGCCAAGGCUUCCUGAAAGAGUCAUCAUGACUCCAACACUGGACCAUAUUCUGACCACUAGAGGAACUGAAUUAGAGUUUCACUGAUGACAACUCCAUGCUGUUUGGGAUCAGCCAGACUUGACAAAACAUGCUGACACACCAAUCACGUGUCACAACACCAGACUCACAGACAACAUUUUCAUGGACACUGAGCCACUUCUGCUUUUAUCCUGUCCUCCUCCACUUCUAGCCUUCAGACACUUGGUGCCUCCCUGAGGAUACACCAACACUUCAAGAACACAGAGUGCACCUGGAGUCGGCUGAGUAGUCCUGUGUCCUGAAAUAACUGCUCGACGUUCCCAGAGCCAGUAAAUGGGAUUUGGGACAUUUUUGUCAUGAAGUCACAAUGUGGGACUAUAAAUGUCUUGCCUUUAAGGGUAGGGUCUUCCCAUGACCCAUCCAUAACAUUUGUGAAAAUGUUGUGUGUUGUGCGUUUUGGAGAGAAGAAUUUUCAUUAUCUUCACAAAGGGAUCUGUUACCCUAAAAGAUUUAGAAUCACUCAGCUUAUUGGUAAGAUGUGCCUAUUCUUUUAGACUCCAGGUGAGGCUUGAUCUCCAGUCUCAAAAGGAAAUAUAUGAUGUCAUCAGACCCCUAGUAAGGUAUUUCUGAAUGUAUGAUAUC